UACGGGGGGAGCAAGCGUUGUUCGGAUUUACUGGGCGUAAAGGGCGCGUAGGCGGCGUGACAAGUCACUUGUGAAAUCUCCCGGGCUUAACUCGGAACGGUCAAGUGAUACUGUCGUGCUAGAGUACAGAAGGGCAACUGGAAUUCUCGGUGUAGCGGUGAAAUGCGUAGAUAUCGAGAGGAACACCUGCGGCGAAGCGGGUUGCUGGGCUGAUACUGACGCUGAGGCGCGAAAGCUAGGGAGCGAACAGG
RNAcentral lists this ribosomal RNA (251 nucleotides) under uncultured bacterium. RNAcentral describes it as "partial 16S ribosomal RNA". It matches the Rfam family "Bacterial small subunit ribosomal RNA", at positions 524 to 776 of the family's 1533-position model. The record is from RNAcentral.